CAAUAGCGUAUAUUAAAGUUGUUGCGGUAAAAAAGCUCGUAGUUGGAUUUCUGUUGAGAGCGACCGGUCCAUACCAUGUAUGCGUAUCUGGCCUGCUCUCGGCAUCCUCUCGAUAGACGUUACUGCGCUUGAUUGCGUGGUGCGGAUCUCGGGACUUUUACUUUGAGGAAAUUAGAGUGUUCACGGCAGGCUUUCGCCAGAAUACAUUAGCAUGGAAUAAUACUAUAGGAUCUUGGUUCUAUUUUGUUGGUUUCUAGAAUUGAGAUAAUGAUUAAUAGGGACAAUUGGGGGCAUUCGUAUCAACACGUCAGAGGUGGAAUUCUUGGAUUGUGUUGCGACGAACUACUGCGAAAGCAUUUGCCAAGGAUGUUUUCAUUGA
RNAcentral lists this ribosomal RNA (379 nucleotides) under uncultured eukaryote. RNAcentral describes it as "partial 18S ribosomal RNA". It matches the Rfam family "Eukaryotic small subunit ribosomal RNA", at positions 592 to 976 of the family's 1831-position model. The record is from RNAcentral.